This 253-nucleotide ribosomal RNA is filed under the name uncultured bacterium. Its description in RNAcentral is "partial 16S ribosomal RNA". It matches the Rfam family "Bacterial small subunit ribosomal RNA", at positions 524 to 776 of the family's 1533-position model. The record is from RNAcentral.
UACGUAGGGACCGAGCGUUGUCCGGAAUCAUUGGGCGUAAAGAGCGUGUAGGCGGCUUGCUAAGUCUUGCGUGAAAUCUCGGGGCUCAACCCCGAGCGGUCGUGGGAAACUGGCAGGCUAGAGUGCGGGAGAGGAGAAUGGAAUUCCCCAAGUAGAGGUGAAAUUCGUAGAUAUGGGGAGGAACACCAGUGGCGAAGGCGGCCACCUGGAUGGUGACUGACGCUGAGACGCGAAAGCGUGGGGAGCAAACAGG